AUUAUUAUUUACACACACAAACACACACACACACAUAUAUAUAUAUAUAUGUGUGUGUGUGUGUGUGUGUUUGUGUGUGUAAAUAAUAAU
Pelobates cultripes (western spadefoot toad) is the source of this 90-nucleotide non-coding RNA. NCBI's taxonomy places the organism in Eukaryota, Metazoa, Chordata, Amphibia, Anura, Pelobatidae. The record is from the annotation of a GenBank genome assembly.